This 406-nucleotide ribosomal RNA is filed under the name uncultured bacterium. RNAcentral describes it as "partial 16S ribosomal RNA". It matches the Rfam family "Bacterial small subunit ribosomal RNA", at positions 30 to 526 of the family's 1533-position model. The record is from RNAcentral.
AUUGAACGCUGGCGGCAAGCCUAACACAUGCAAGUCGAACGAGUGGCGGACGGGUGAGUAAUGUCUGGGAAACUGCCUGAUGGAGGGGGAUAACUACUGGAAACGGUAGCUAAUACCGCCUACCAUCGGAUGUGCCCAGAUGGGAUUAGCUAGUAGGUGGGGUAAAGGCUCACCUAGGCGACGAUCCCUAGCUGGUCUGAGAGGAUGACCAGCAACCCUGGAACUGAAACCCGGUCAAGCCUCCGACGGGAGGCAGCAGUGGGGAAUAUUGCACAAUGGGCGCAAGCCUGAUGCAGCCAUGCCGCGUGUAUGAAGAAGGCCUUCGGGUUUUAAAGUACUUUCAGGGGGGAGGCGUUACCCGCAGAAGAAGCACCGGCUAACUCCUUGCCAGCAGCCGCGGUAAUUC